GAAUUGGUAGCUUGUGCUUCUCUAUGGU
This 28-nucleotide small RNA is filed under the name Bombyx mori (domestic silkworm). RNAcentral's name for it is "ovarian small RNA-15317". Lineage: Eukaryota; Metazoa; Arthropoda; Insecta; Lepidoptera; Bombycidae. The record is from RNAcentral.